Molecule: ribosomal RNA, 220 nt
Filed under: uncultured bacterium
Lineage: Bacteria
Description: partial 16S ribosomal RNA
Rfam family: Bacterial small subunit ribosomal RNA
Source: RNAcentral
AACGUACUCAGUUCGGAUUGAAGUCUGCAACUCGACUACAUGAAGCUGGAAUCGCUAGUAAUCGCAGAUCAGAAUGCUGCGGUGAAUACGUUCCCGGGUCUUGUACACACCGCCCGUCACACCAUGGGAGUCGGAAAUGCCCGAAGCCGGUGACCCAACCAAAAGGAGGGAGCCGUCGAAGGCAGGUCUGAUAACUGGGGUGAAGUCGUAACAAGGUAAC